RNAcentral lists this ribosomal RNA (253 nucleotides) under uncultured bacterium. RNAcentral describes it as "partial 16S ribosomal RNA". It matches the Rfam family "Bacterial small subunit ribosomal RNA", at positions 524 to 776 of the family's 1533-position model. The record is from RNAcentral.
UACAGAGGUCUCAAGCGUUGUUCGGAUUCAUUGGGCGUAAAGGGUGCGUAGGUGGCGCUGUAAGUCGGGUGUGAAAUUUCGGGGCUUAACUCCGAAACUGCAUUCGAUACUGCGGUGCUUGAGGACUGGAGAGGAGACUGGAAUUCAUGGUGUAGCAGUGAAAUGCGUAGAGAUCAUGAGGAAGACCAGUGGCGAAGGCGGGUCUCUGGACAGUUCCUGACACUGAGGCACGAAGGCCAGGGGAGCAAACGGG